Molecule: non-coding RNA, 134 nt
Organism: Triticum aestivum (bread wheat)
Lineage: Eukaryota; Viridiplantae; Streptophyta; Magnoliopsida; Poales; Poaceae
Source: Rfam
GAAGUACUCCCCCGUCCCAAAAUUCUUGUGUUAAAUUUGUCUAAAUACGGAUAAACCAAGUCAUGUUUUAAUAUUAGAUACAUCCGUAUCUAAACAAAUUUAAGACAAGAAUUUUGGGACGGAGGGAGUACUAC